Molecule: long non-coding RNA, 331 nt
Organism: Oryzias latipes (Japanese medaka)
Lineage: Eukaryota; Metazoa; Chordata; Actinopteri; Beloniformes; Adrianichthyidae
Source: RefSeq, a predicted model, not a curated record
UGGCUACCGAAUAAGACCGAGUCUUACGUCAACAGACCAGUUUAGAAUGUGCCGGAUGCUGUGGACAUUGGACGACAGACUAACUUAAACCAGGCAGAGCAGGAAACUGUUGGAGUUGUUGUUCCCUCUGUGGCUUGUCCUCUCUCCUCUCAGACCUGUUCAACCCUUGUGGGACAUCAGAAAACCAUGGCCAAGACAUUAACAUUUAUGUACUGAUCUAUGCAUGUCAUCACAGCAGGAUGUAACAAAAACUAACAAUGUGAACAGAUCUCAUCUGCCUUACAAAAUACUGCCCCCCUUAAGAAAAUAAAUGGCUAAUAAUCACCACUGG